RNAcentral lists this small RNA (125 nucleotides) under Marmota monax (woodchuck). Lineage: Eukaryota; Metazoa; Chordata; Mammalia; Rodentia; Sciuridae. The record is from RNAcentral.
GCUGAGCAUGGUGGCACAUGCCUGUAAUCCCAGCAGCUUGGGAGGCUGAGGCAGGAGAAUUGUGAGUUCAAAGCCAGCCUUAGCAAAAGUGAGGCACUAAGCAACUCAGUGAGACCCUGCCUCUA